GAUGAAGAACGCAGUGAAAUGCGAUACGUAAUGUGAAUUGCAGAAUUCAGUGAAUCAUCGAGUCUUUGAACGCACAUUGCGCCCCCUGGUAUUCCGGGGGGCAUGCCUGUCCGAGCGUCAUUGCUGCCCUCAAGCACGGCUUGUGUGUUGGGCCUCCGCCCCCCGGCUCCCGGGGGGCGGGCCCGAAAGGCAGCGGCGGCACCACGUCCGGUCCUCGAGCGUAUGGGGCUUCGUCACCCGCUCCGUAGGCCCGGCCGGCGCCCGCCGGCGACCCCCCUCAAUCUUUCCAGGUUGACCUCGGAUCAGGUAGGGAUACCCGCUGAACUUAAGCAUAUCAAUAAGCGGAGGA
This 349-nucleotide unclassified non-coding RNA is filed under the name soil metagenome. RNAcentral describes it as "partial contains 5.8S ribosomal RNA, internal transcribed spacer 2, and large subunit ribosomal RNA". The stretch from base 1 to 120 matches the Rfam family "5.8S ribosomal RNA", at positions 35 to 154 of the family's 154-position model. The record is from RNAcentral.